GCUGGGCGUGCUGGUGUUUGCCUGUAAUCCCAGCUACUUGGGAGGUUGAGGCAGGAGAAUCACUUGAGCCCAGGAGGCGGAGGUUGCAGUGAGCCAAGAUUGUGCCACUGCACUCCACCCUGGGCAACAAAGCGAGACUCUGUCUCAA
Nomascus leucogenys (northern white-cheeked gibbon) is the source of this 148-nucleotide non-coding RNA. It matches the Rfam family "Metazoan signal recognition particle RNA". From Rfam's summary of the family: The signal recognition particle (SRP) is a universally conserved ribonucleoprotein. It is involved in the co-translational targeting of proteins to membranes. Lineage: Eukaryota; Metazoa; Chordata; Mammalia; Primates; Hylobatidae. The record is from Rfam.